This 406-nucleotide ribosomal RNA is filed under the name bacterium. RNAcentral describes it as "bacterial SSU rRNA". It matches the Rfam family "Bacterial small subunit ribosomal RNA", at positions 354 to 776 of the family's 1533-position model. RNAcentral also lists the same sequence under 1 other name. The record is from RNAcentral.
GUGGGGAAUAUUGCACAAUGGGGGAAACCCUGAUGCAGCGACGCCGCGUGAGUGAAGAAGUAUUUCGGUAUGUAAAGCUCUAUCAGCAGGGAAGAAGAAAGACGGUACCUGACUAAGAAGCCCCGGCUAACUACGUGCCAGCAGCCGCGGUAAUACGUAGGGGGCAAGCGUUAUCCGGAUUUACUGGGUGUAAAGGGAGCGUAGACGGCUGUGCAAGUCUGAAGUGAAAGCCCAGGGCUCAACCCUGGGACUGCUUUGGAAACUGUGGAGCUAGAGUGCUGGAGAGGUAAGUGGAAUUCCUAGUGUAGCGGUGAAAUGCGUAGAUAUUAGGAGGAACACCAGUGGCGAAGGCGGCUUACUGGACAGUAACUGACGUUGAGGCUCGAAAGCGUGGGGAGCAAACAGG